GCAUAGUAUUCAUUCAGCUUUAAUUGAGCAUAGCAAUCCUGAUCAAAGAAUAUUUGAUUGUUCCAGGUAAUUCCGAAAGGUUUAUCUGGGUAGCUUUUGAUGUUGCAAUUAUUUAUCCUAGCCAAGCCCACAUUGGGGUGGGUGAAUGGGGCUGGAUUGAGCUUGAGACCAGUUGUCUCGAAAGCUUUGGGGUGACGCUCAUUUGUUUCCCUUAGUUAUUUGUUAAUGUCUUGAAAUUUUGUAGAAGCUGACAAGAUCCACAGGACAAAAAAUCGAAAGGAUUGAAAUACUAAAUGGACACCAUGGAAGCCACCGAUCAUUAUCCGCUGCGCACAGCAUUCCAGGACCUCUCAUUUUCCAUGCUAUAAGCUGGGCAAGCCGGCGUCUUCCAUUUCCAUCAAGUUGUUUAAUAGGUACUAGUACCGAUUUUGCAUCUGCCAAAAAAUAACCAUACCGAGCAUUUCUUCCGUUUCCUAUAAAAUUAACCCGGGAGAAAACCUGGUAAUAUUCCCUGCGAUCUUCCUCUGUUGCAGUUCUGUUUUCCAUGACACUUUUAGAUCUCCCAAAGCAACAGCUUGGUGAGAUACCCAUUGCAUUGCCAGCCUGGAAGAAAGCAAUGUCUGGUUGAAGAUUAGGAGUGAUGACUUCUGCAUCACUCAUAUCAACGGUCAUAGGAGCGAGCUAGAGGUUGGUGAGAUGAUGUGCAAGCUGCAGAAAAGCUGCUCACAGGGAGCAACACAACCUUCUGCUUUUUAGAUACACGUGAUGAAACAGGCGGCGUAAAUUGGUUGUGUUUAUAGCUUGUGUUGGGCUAAUAGGCAUUGAUUCGUUCGCAACGUGGAUUUGCUGAAGCAGAUUUCCACGGCGUUGGAGAAUAUAAGCAUGUAUGAGACGUUUUGUUCACUGUUCUCCGUAUUUAUGCAGGAGAAGUCUUUCAAAGUGGAGAAUGAAGCGAUCUAGAUGUCAGGCUGUACCUCCUCCCUCGUGGAACCAGCCAGUGUCUGUGAACCCGGCCAAAGUUAGGUAGCGCGUUGAGGAUGGCAAUUUUGUCAACCAGGUCUGGGGGGGUGGAGAUAUGAAAGUGCCUUACCAAAUCUACCAUCAAAAAGACCUCUCAUUAAAGAAGAUAUUAUUGCAGGAUCGAUUCAUUACCGUCAAUUCCUGUAUAUAGAAUGGCUGGUAAUUCCGCUGAUCACUGAAAGAAAAUCAAAUAUUCCAUCGUAAGUAUUCUAGAUUUGAAACCAUUUGUCCAGUUGGUUGGUACCUUUGGUGCCAAAAGUUCUAACAUCAGAUUACAGAGCUUGCAAGGUGCAAUUGCGCAUAUCAAUGCGAUCAAUGAGAUUAAUGAUCUAUUUCCUCUCAUUACCAUUUUUACCAUCUCUACCAGUACUAUUAAUUAAUGAAUUAUAAAGCUUAGAGAAAUCAUUCACAUUAACUAGUUAGCUAUAGAGAUUUUUGUCCCCUCGAGCUCACUACCGGCUAGCCCUGGAGUGGUAAAUUGAGGGCGUUUACCCCACAUCCCACGGUUUUUUUGUCAACAAUCAGAUAGGGUUUUUGAGGAUCAUCGA
RNAcentral lists this small RNA (1568 nucleotides) under Histoplasma capsulatum var. duboisii H88. Its description in RNAcentral is "Histoplasma capsulatum H88 hypothetical RNA". The record is from RNAcentral. Lineage: Eukaryota; Fungi; Ascomycota; Eurotiomycetes; Onygenales; Ajellomycetaceae.